CUCUAUAAAGAAGCAGGGAGAGACUGUCCUUUUUUUUUUCCCUUUGCAUCUAAUCAUGUCUGAGGAUCUGAGAGUAGGCAAAGAAAAAGCAUGGCCAAGAAGAUUCUGAAUGAUCAUUUCAAAACUCCAGACUAUAUUAAUUGUAAAGGUAUCCAUCUGAGAGUUAUUCCUCACUUGAUCUUCCAACCAGUAGACAUUAGGGUAAAGAUCAUUCCCAAAUAAAGCAGCUGAAAAACACCAGGGAAUAUUUCAACUUGGGAUUCUGUGCCUUCCUGUUUUACAACUUUAUCCCG
RNAcentral lists this long non-coding RNA (293 nucleotides) under Felis catus (domestic cat). Its description in RNAcentral is "lncRNA (ENSFCAG00000052286.1)". Lineage: Eukaryota; Metazoa; Chordata; Mammalia; Carnivora; Felidae. The record is from RNAcentral.